GGUCUUGUAAUGGAAUGAUGGUGACUUAAACCCUCACCAGAGUACCAAUUGGAGGGCAAGUCUGGUGCCAGCAGCCGCGGUAAUUCCAGCUCCAAUAGCGUAUAUUAAACUUGUUGCAGUUAAAAAGCUCGUAGUUGAAUUUCAGCGUUUCGCGUGUGCCUCUUUUGGCCCAUCUCGUCUCGCUUUUUUUAUUACUUUGAGAAAAUUAGAGUGUUUCAAGCAGGCUUUUGUCUUGAAUACUUGAGCAUGGAAUAAUAGAGUAGGACCUUGGUUCUAUUUUGUUGGUUUUGUUACCUUGGUAAUGGUUAAUAGGAACGGUUGGGGGCAUUCGUAUUUAACUGUCAGAGGUGAAAUUCUUAGAUUUGUUAAAGACGAACUACUGCGAAAGCAUUUGCCA
This 397-nucleotide ribosomal RNA is filed under the name Babesia occultans. RNAcentral's name for it is "SSU rRNA". It matches the Rfam family "Eukaryotic small subunit ribosomal RNA", at positions 500 to 960 of the family's 1831-position model. The record is from RNAcentral. Lineage: Eukaryota; Apicomplexa; Aconoidasida; Piroplasmida; Babesiidae.